This 385-nucleotide ribosomal RNA is filed under the name uncultured bacterium. RNAcentral's name for it is "bacterial SSU rRNA". It matches the Rfam family "Bacterial small subunit ribosomal RNA", at positions 28 to 414 of the family's 1533-position model. The record is from RNAcentral.
GACGAACGCUGGCGGCGUGCUUAACACAUGCAAGUCGAGCGGUAAGGCCCUUUCGGGGGUACACGAGCGGCGAACGGGUGAGUAACACGUGGGUGACCUGCCCUCAGCUCUGGGAUAAGCCUGGGAAACCGGGUCUAAUACUGGAUAUGACUCCAUGACGCAUGUUGUGGGGUGGAAAGCCUUGUGCGGCUGAGGAUGGGCCUGCGGCCUAUCAGCUUGUUGGUGGGGUGAUGGCCUACCAAGGCGACGACGGGUAGCCGGCCUGAGAGGGCGACCGGCCACACUGGGACUGAGACACGGCCCAGACUCCUACGGGAGGCAGCAGUGGGGAAUCUUGCGCAAUGGGCGAAAGCCUGACGCAGCGACGCCGCGUGAGGGAUGACGG